RNAcentral lists this ribosomal RNA (625 nucleotides) under Pseudomonas sp. LS66. Its description in RNAcentral is "bacterial SSU rRNA". It matches the Rfam family "Bacterial small subunit ribosomal RNA", at positions 57 to 675 of the family's 1533-position model. Lineage: Bacteria; Pseudomonadati; Pseudomonadota; Gammaproteobacteria; Pseudomonadales; Pseudomonadaceae. The record is from RNAcentral.
GAGAGUCGAGCGGAUGAAAGGAGCUUGCUCCUGGAUUCAGCGGCGGACGGGUGAGUAAUGCCUAGGAAUCUGCCUGGUAGUGGGGGACAACGUUUCGAAAGGAACGCUAAUACCGCAUACGUCCUACGGGAGAAAGCAGGGGACCUUCGGGCCUUGCGCUAUCAGAUGAGCCUAGGUCGGAUUAGCUAGUUGGUGAGGUAAUGUCUCACCAAGGCGACGAUCCGUAACUGGUCUGAGAGGAUGAUCAGUCACACUGGAACUGAGACACGGUCCAGACUCCUACGGGAGGCAGCAGUGGGGAAUAUUGGACAAUGGGAGAAAGCAUGAUCCAGCCAUGCCGCGUGUGUGAAGAAGGUCUUCGGAUUGUAAAGCACUUUAAGUUGGGAGGAAGGGCAGUAAGUUAAUACCUUGCUGUUUUGACGUUACCGACAGAAUAAGCACCGGCUAACUCUGUGCCAACAGCCGCGGAAAUACAGAGGUUGCAAGCGUUAAUCGGAAUUACUGGAUGUAAAGCGCGCGUAGGUGGUUUGUUAAGGUCGCCGGUAAAUUCCCUGGGCUCUAACCCGUGAACUGCAUCCCCAACUGGCAAGCAAUAGAAGGGUAGAGGGUGGUGGAAUUUCCUGUG